UUGCCCUAGUAACGGCGAGUGAAGCGGCAACAGCUCAAAUUUGAAAUCUGGCUCUUUUAGAGUCCGAGUUGUAAUUUGCAGAGGGCGCUUUGGCUUUGGCAGCGGUCCAAGUUCCAAUUGGAACAGGACGUCACAGAGGGUGAGAAUCCCGUACGUGGUCGCUGGCUAUUGCCGUGUAAAGCCCCUUCGACGAGUCGAGUUGUUUGGGAAUGCAGCUCUAAAUGGGAGGUACAUUUCUUCUAAAGCUAAAUAUUGGCCAGAGACCGAUAGCGCACAAGUAGAGUGAUCGAAAGAUGAAAAGCACUUUGGAAAGAGAGUCAAACAGCACGUGAAAUUGUUGAAAGGGAAGCGCUUGCAGCCAGACUUGCUUACAGUUGCUCAUCCGGGUUUUUACCCGGUGCACUCUUCUGUAGGCAGGCCAGCAUCAGUUUGGGCGGUAGGAUAAAGGUCUCUGUCACGUACCUCCUUUCGGGGAGGCCUUAUAGGGGAGACGACAUACUACCAGCCUGGACUGAGGUCCGCGCAUCUGCUAGGAUGCUGGCGUAAUGGCUGUAAGCGGCCCGUCUUGAAACACGGACCAAGGAGUCUAACAUCUAGGUGCGAGUGUUUGGGUGUCAAGCCCGAGCGCGUAAUGAAAGUGAACGGAGGUGGGAACCCGCAAGGGUGCACCAUCGACCGAUCCUGAUGUACUUCGGAAGGAUUUGAGUAAGAGCAUGUGCUGUUGGGACCCGAAAGAUGGUGAACUAUGCUUGAAUAGGGUGAAGCCAGAGGAAACUCUGGUGGAGGCUCGCAGCGGUUCUGACGUGC
This 807-nucleotide ribosomal RNA is filed under the name Fusarium oxysporum. RNAcentral describes it as "partial large subunit ribosomal RNA". It matches the Rfam family "Eukaryotic large subunit ribosomal RNA", at positions 75 to 894 of the family's 3401-position model. Lineage: Eukaryota; Fungi; Ascomycota; Sordariomycetes; Hypocreales; Nectriaceae. The record is from RNAcentral.